Molecule: ribosomal RNA, 279 nt
Filed under: uncultured bacterium
Lineage: Bacteria
Description: partial 16S ribosomal RNA
Rfam family: Bacterial small subunit ribosomal RNA
Source: RNAcentral
UGCCAGCAGCCGCGGUAAUACGGAGGGUGCAAGCGUUGUCCGGAUUCACUGGGUGUAAAGGGUGUGUAGGCGGGGUUGUAAGUCAGAGGUGAAAUCCUACAGCUUAACUGUAGAACUGCCUUUGAUACUGCAACUCUUGAAUCUCGGAGGGGUUGUCGGAAUUCGUGGUGUAGCGGUGAAAUGCGUAGAUAUCACGAGGAACACCAGAGGCGUAGGCGGGCAACUGGACGAGUAUUGACGCUGAGGCACGAAAGCGUGGGGAGCAAACAGGAUUAGAUA